UAACACAUGCAAGUCGAACGAAACACCUUAUUUGAUUUUCUUCGGAACUGAAGAUUUGGUGAUUGAGUGGCGGACGGGUGAGUAACGCGUGGGUAACCUACCUUGUACAGGGGGAUAACAGUCAGAAAUGACUGCUAAUACCGCAUAAGACCACAGCACCGCAUGGUGCAGGGGUAAAAACUCCGGUGGUACAGGAUGGACCCGCGUCUGAUUAGCUGGUUGGUGAGGUAACGGCUCACCAAGGCGACGAUCAGUAGCCGGCUUGAGAGAGUGAACGGCCACAUUGGGACUGAGACACGGCCCAAACUCCUACGGGAGGCAGCAGUGGGGAAUAUUGCACAAUGGGGGAAACCCUGAUGCAGCAACGCCGCGUGAGUGAAGAAGUAUUUCGGUAUGUAAAGCUCUAUCAGCAGGGAAGAUAAUGACGGUACCUGACUAAGAAGCUCCGGCUAAAUACGUGCCAGCAGCCGCGGUAAUACGUAUGGAGCAAGCGUUAUCCGGAUUUACUGGGUGUAAAGGGAGCGUAGACGGCAUGGCAAGUCUGAAGUGAAAUGCGGGGGCUCAACCCCUGAACUGCUUUGGAAACUGUCAGGCUGGAGUGCAGGAGAGGUAAGUGGAAUUCCUAGUGUAGCGGUGAAAUGCGUAGAUAUUAGGAGGAACACCAGUGGCGAAGGCGGCUUACUGGACUGUAACUGACGUUGAGGCUCGAAAGCGUGGGGAGCAAACAGGAUUAGAUACCCUGGUAGUCCACGCCGUAAACGAUGAUUACUAGGUGUUGGGGAUUUAUAAAUCCCCGGUGCCGUCGCAAACGCAAUAAGUAAUCCACCUGGGGAGUACGUUCGCAAGAAU
Molecule: ribosomal RNA, 849 nt
Filed under: uncultured bacterium
Lineage: Bacteria
Description: bacterial SSU rRNA
Rfam family: Bacterial small subunit ribosomal RNA
Source: RNAcentral